AACGAACGCUGGCGGCGUGCUUAACACAUGCAAGUCGAACGUGAAGAGGGCUUCGGUCCUCGGAAAGUGGCGCACGGGUGAGUAACACGUGGAUAAUCUACCCGACGAUCCGGGAUAACAUUUCGAAAGGGGUGCUAAUACCGGAUAAGCUCACAGGCUCUUCGGAGCCUGCGGGAAAAGGUGGGGACCUUCGGGCCCACUGUCAUCGGAUGAGUCCGCGGCCCAUUAGCUAGUUGGUGGGGUAAUGGCCUACCAAGGCGACGAUGGGUAGCUGGUCUGAGAGGAUGAUCAGCCACACUGGAACUGAGACACGGUCCAGACUCCUACGGGUGGCAG
Molecule: ribosomal RNA, 336 nt
Filed under: uncultured Pseudomonadota bacterium
Lineage: Bacteria; Pseudomonadati; Pseudomonadota
Description: bacterial SSU rRNA
Rfam family: Bacterial small subunit ribosomal RNA
Source: RNAcentral